CAAUACAGGUGGCGCACGGCGCACGGGUNCGUAACACGUGGGCAAUCUGCCCUCUGAUGGGGAAUAACCCGCCGAAAGGCGGGCUAAUACCGCAUAAAAUUCCUUGGACUCAUGUUCGAGGACUCAAAGGCGUAAGUCGUCGGAGGAGGAGCCCGCGCACGAUUAGCUAGUUGGUAGGGUAAUGGCCUACCAAGGCUUUGAUCGUUAGCUGGUCUGAGAGGAUGGCAGCCACACUGGAACUGAGACACGGUCCAGACUCCUACGGGAGGCAGCAGUGGGGAAUCUUGCACAAUGGGCGAAAGCCUGAUGCAGCGACGCCGCGUGGGGGAUGAAGCAUUUCGGUGUGUAAACCCCUUUCGAUCCGGACGAAUACCUCGUAAGAGGGGUGACGGUACGGAUAUAAGAAGCCCCGGCUAACUACGUGCCAGCAGCCGCGGUAAGACGUAGGGGGCCAGCGUUGUUCGGAAUUACUGGGUGUAAAGGGUUCGUAGGCGGUGUGGCAAGUUGGGAGUGAAAUCUCUGGGCUCAACCCAGAGGCUGCUUCCAAAACUGCUGUGCUUGAGUGUGAGAGAGGCUCGUGGAAUUGCAGGUGUAGCGGUGAAAUGCGUAGAUAUCUGCAGGAACACCCGUGGCGAAAGCGGCGAGCUGGAUCACUACUGACGCUGAGGAACGAAAGCUAGGGGAGCAAACAGGAUUAGAUACCCUGGUAGUCCUAGCCCUAAACGAUCAGGACUUGGGGUGCCACCCGUUCGGGUGUCGUCCCGGAGCUAACGCGUUAAGUCCUGCACCUGGGGAGCACGGUCGCAAGACUGAAACUC
This 818-nucleotide ribosomal RNA is filed under the name uncultured Pseudomonadota bacterium. RNAcentral describes it as "bacterial SSU rRNA". It matches the Rfam family "Bacterial small subunit ribosomal RNA", at positions 80 to 902 of the family's 1533-position model. The record is from RNAcentral. Lineage: Bacteria; Pseudomonadati; Pseudomonadota.